RNAcentral lists this ribosomal RNA (503 nucleotides) under uncultured bacterium. Its description in RNAcentral is "bacterial SSU rRNA". It matches the Rfam family "Bacterial small subunit ribosomal RNA", at positions 1 to 505 of the family's 1533-position model. The record is from RNAcentral.
CCCUUAGAGUUUGAUCCUGGCUCAGGAUGAACGCUGGCGGCGUGCUUAACACAUGCAAGUCGAACGAAACACCUUAUUUGAUUUUCUUCGGAACUGAAGAUUUGGUGAUUGAGUGGCGGACGGGUGAGUAACGCGUGGGUAACCUACCCUGUACAGGGGGAUAACAGUCAGAAAUGACUGCUAAUACCGCAUAAGACCACAGCACCGCAUGGUGCAGGGGUAAAAACUCCGGUGGUACAGGAUGGACCCGCGUCUGAUUAGCUGGUUGGUGAGGUAACGGCUCACCAAGGCGACGAUCAGUAGCCGGCUUGAGAGAGUGAACGGCCACAUUGGGACUGAGACACGGCCCAAACUCCUACGGGAGGCAGCAGUGGGGAAUAUUGCACAAUGGGGGAAACCCUGAUGCAGCGACGCCGCGUGAGUGAAGAAGUAUCUCGGUAUGUAAAGCUCUAUCAGCAGGGAAGAAAAAGACGGUACCUGACUAAGAAGCCCCGGCAACUCUG